GCAUGGGUCAGACGAUCAGGCAUAAACUAGGCUAGGCAUCGAGGUGUUGAGUAUCGAGGUCAAUGGAGUACACAAAGUCAAAGCCAGAAUAUCAUCACUUAGAAAGGUUUUGUAUGGAAAGGCUAUAGUAACUGAACAUAUACUUUGCAAAGACAUUGUGUUCAAUGUUUUAUGUGUGGUGUGACUGCGAGUGUAAAGUGACAUGACACCAGGACCCAAACCAGAGCCAUAGAUGUGUACGUGACACAGUUGAGGAGUAUUGCACCUACACAGACACAAAACCAGUACCUGGAUUGGUUUGAGCCUGAUAUUUAUCUUCCUGGUUUGGUAUGCAAAGCCACUGCAGGGUGUCACGUACAGCGGUAGCGAUGGCUACACAUGCAAGCUCGUAUAGCAUCAUGAGGGCACAGAGUCAUGCCUCAAUUCUUCAUGGCAUGGAUUCCACAAGAUGUUGGAAACUUCUAUUGGAUUCAGAUACGGUGGAUUCUAUUGGUCUAUUGGAUUCACAUCUAUUGGAUUCAGAUCAGGUGACUGGGAAGGCCACUGAAGAACAUUGUUAUGUUCAUGAAAUUAUGGACAACUUUUGCUUUGUAAGAUGGUGCAUUAUCAUGUUUGAUGUAGCCAUUCAAAAAUGGGUAAACUGUGGCCAUGAAGGGAUGCACAUGGUCAGCAACAAUACUCAAAUAGACUGUGACAUUCAAGCGAUUAUUGAUUGGUAUUAACGGGCACAAAGUGUGCCAAGAAAACAUUCCCCACACCAUUACACCACCUCCACCAACCUGCGCUGUUUAUACAAGGUAGGUUGGGUCCAUGGAUUCAUGCUGUUGGUGCCAAAUUAAGACCCUACUAUCUGUCUGCCUCAGCAGAAAUACAGAUUCAUCAGACCAGGCUACAUUUUUCCAGUCGUCAAAUGUCUAGUUUUGGUGAGCCUGUUCCCACUACAGACUUCAGCUUUCUUGACAGACAGAAGUGGAACCCGACGUGGUCUUCUGCUGUUGCAGCCCUUCUGUCUGAAGGUUUGAAGUGGUGUGCGUUCUAAGAUGUUUUUCUGUACAGAGUGGUUAUCUGCGUUACUGUCGUCUUUCUGUAAGUUUGAACCAGUCUGGCAAAUCUCCUCUGACCUCUCUCAUCAACAAGGCCUUUACGGCCGAAGAACUGCUGCUCACUGUAAGUUUUUCCUUUAUUACACCAUUCUGAGUAAACUCUGGAGACUGUCAUGUGUGAAAAUCCCAGGAGAUCAUCAGUUAUAGAAAUACUCAAACCAGCCUAUCUGGUACCAACAAUCAUGCCAUAAUAAAAAUCACUGAGAUCACAUUUGUCCUCAUCCUGAUGGUCGAGGUUAACAUUACCCGAAGCUGCUGGCCUGUAUCUGCAUGAUUUUAUACAUUGCACUGCUGCCGCAUGAUCGACUGAGUAGAUAAUGGCAUGAAUAAGUGCUGUAGGUGUACAGGUGUUCUUAAUAAAGUGUUCAGUGAGUGUAUAUGUAUUUAAUAUAGAAUUAUCUUUCAAAAUGAUUCCUUCUUGUUGAACCAGUUUUUAGUAAAUGUUUCCUAUAAAGGGCGCACGGUGGCUUAGCGGUUAGCACGUCCACCUCACACAUCCGGGGUUCGAGUCCCGCCGGGGCCAUGUGUGUGCAGAGUUUGCAUGUUCUCCCCGUGCUGCGGGGGUUUACUCCGGGUACUACGGUUUCCUACCCCAGUCCAAAGACAUGCAUAGUAGGCUGAUUGGCCUGUCUAAAGUGUCCGUAGUGUAUGAAUGGGUGUGUGAGUGUGUAUGUGAUUGUUGCCCUGCGAUGGACUGGCACCCUGUCCUUGUGCCCGAUGCUUCCUGGGAUAGGCUCCAGGUUCCCCGUGACCCUGAAGAAGGAGUAAGCGGUAGAAGAUGGAUGGAUGGAUGGAUGGAUGGAUGGAUGUUUCCUAUAAAUACAUACUAUUCAUUUUUAUGUAACUCAUUGCAUAUUGUGCAUUGUAAUGACUUGCUAGUUUCUUUAAUUCCCUGUGUACAUAAUGUAAUGCAAUUUGUGGCUAAUCUGAAAAGAUUAAAUAAAUAGAAAUAAAUACAGUUCUAUUUUUGUUCUGAAUACAAUAUAUUAUUACGUUAGUACACAGUGAGCUAUUCACACUGGAGUCAUUUUUUAAUGUGAUAAUCUCCUACUUGAAUAUAUACAAUAUUCCUGCAUACUCUGUCCAUCUCUAAAAUAGCGCUUGAAUUAUCAACACAAACCUCUGUAGUUCUAGACAAUAUUAUUAAACAUAAUGAAUUAGGGGGCAGUGGUGCUCCAAAAUGGUAAUUAUUUGAAUGGUAAAUACCACAGGUGACUUUCUCUACAGUUCACAGAAUUACAUUCGCGCAGACAAUCUUUUCAGGCAGAAAGAACUUAUCACAUAUCAUACUCGCAGUUAAAUAUUUUAUCAUAAAUGCUGUUCAUGCUUUUGUCGAAUUUCAGAGUUGCCCAAGGAAUGCCAAAAAUGCAAAUGCGUGCAUUAUCCACAUAUCUGCAAUUCCCUACUAUGUGAAACCAAGAGGCUUGAUUUUGUGUUGCAAGGAUCAUGAAUGUGAAUCAUUUCUAACAGCCGGUUGGAAGGUUGGAGGCAUGUUCCCAAAGAUCAUCUUCAGCCUCAACUCCAAAGAUUGUGUUGUUGUGAAUAAGAAGUAAGUACCAAAUGCAAAACAUGAGGCAAUGCUUACCAAUGGAGGCUUAACAACCUCCAUUUGAGGCUACACAAAGAAUUGUAAGUUUAGUCUUAUAAUACAAGAAUAGCUACUACUAGACGGAAGUGAGGAGGAUUACACUGGAAAUUGUCACGUUUCGUGACGUGAGGAAGUUCAGGACGGAUGCAAGCGCAGGAUGAACAGGUUUUAUUUAAGAGAGAGACAGGCAGACAAAUCCAAAACGUGAUCCACAAACGUAAUCCAGUAACCUGCAAAGUUCAGGCGAUCGGCAAACAGGCAUACACAGGGCUAGGCAGGAAUCAAGGUCGUGGUCACAGAAAAUAGGGUCGAGAUACAAAAUAUAAAACAUAAGCUACAGCGAGGGACUAGUAGCAGAGAAACCAGCAUGAACUAAACUAACGAACCAGACUAAGACUAAGACUAAGACUAAGACUAAGACUCAAAACAUGACACUAUGAACUGUGCCUGUGGUUCUCUAUCGUAAGGACGCUAAACUAAUCUACUAUCUAACUCAAUAUUCCAUGUUGUGUGCUGGGAGGCGCGCGGUAUAUAUGCGGACAUAAUCAGCGUUGUAAUUGCUGACGGGCAAUGAGGGCAAUUCAGACACACAUGAAACAACAACCAAUGACAGAACGGGGAGGAGACAUAACAGAAACAUAAACAAAUGCACGUGUCGAAAUGUCACGAUUGUCAACAAGGGAAAAGCGUUGACACGCGCGCUCGCUCACAUGCUCCACAGUGCGCUGCUUAAAGGGGAACUCGUGACAGAAAUGAUCAAGUAUAGAGCUACUGAUUCUGAGUAGAGCCCUGGCUGAGUGCUACAACCUGGACACUAUUAAUAACUGUUAUAGCUAAUAUAGUCCCAGUACCUCAGAAAUACGUAGUGACAUGCCAUAAAGACUACCACCCAGUAGCACCUACCCUGAUCAUAGUGAAAUGUUUUGAAAAAGUAGUCAUCUAAUAUAUCAAAGGCCCUGCUUAUCUGUUUAACCCCCAUAAGCUUGUUAUUUACUGAGUUCAGUCUGACAUUCAAUAUGAUCCUAUCAUACCAUUAAACAUGUCACUAAGUUUAAUGACCUGGAAUUUAAUUCAAGCUUAAUUUACUGGGGCCCUGCAGAGCUGUUUGGACACAUCAGUACCAUACUCAGCUCUUGGUGCUUUCUCUGUCAGUCAAGAUUGGUGACUAAAUUGGAUCACCUCAGGUGCUUUUUAUGCUCAGUCCCAUAUUUAUCUAUGACUGCACCCUUAGUCAUGAGAGUAACACAAUUAUUAGGAUUGCAGAUGACAGUACUCUUAUGCCAAUGAUUAGAGGUUGUGAUGAAUCAUCCUACAGGGAGAAGGUCAAGAAACAUCACUGUGCUCAGGCAAUAGCUGCAUCAACAAUGUCAAGAAAAUGUCAAGACCAAACUAGUUGUCAUGGACAAACGGGUCAGCUCUUUUAGAUAAACAUUGAGAGCAAAGGUUUUUUUUGCGUGAAAAUAAUUUCCAUCACUAGACAGAACACAUCCCAUCAAGGUGAACAUUUAAAUUCCACAAAACAGAGGAAAUAAUCAGGAUGUUUCACAUCUUUAUUUUUGCAAGUCAAAAAAAAAACCAGGGAAAGCCUGUUUUAAGUAUCUUACUCUCAUGAAUUUCUAAGAUCUAGUCUUGUGCUAUAAAAGUGAGCAUGGCCGUUCUACUAGAUUCCACUAGUUCCUUGACUCAUUCAGUAAAGCUGAAUAUAUCUGCUUUUAGCUACUCAGUCCUGUAUUGUAUUGUAUAACAGUAUAAAUUAGUCACAAAGUUGUUGUUUUUUAAAAUCACAUUUACUUUUAUUGAAUGUCUUGCAACUGAACAUGUUGCGUUGUGAUACUAGUAUCUAUAUCUACAUAAAGAGCACCUCUAUUUUAUGUAAGAAUCUUUGGUCAUAAUCAUUCUAUCAAGAAGUUCUAUUCACACUCCCGGUCUGUAGUCUUCUUCUGAUGUUGUGAUAAGCACGGAUGAUUUUAACAACCUCUUUACAUAUAAAUUCAGGUGUUUCAGGUCUUGAGUAUCUAAAUGAGAUGAGUCACAGCAUAGUGCGUGUUUGUUUUGUGCUGAAGCGUGAGGCCUGGAGCAGCUGCCAGGCUUGGAAAUUGUCUUUGCCUUCAGGAUAGUGUGUAAUCUGCAGGCUUUGACCUGAACAAAGCAGGGCCAUGGCUGGCUGCAUGAAUGAUAUUGCCUCAUCUCAUCUAUUGGCUGUUGGUUUAGCCCCCAAAAGCAGAGUCUCCCUGUCCUUUAGCUGUGUAGGAGUGUUUGUGUGUCUACGUGCAAAAUAUUUCCAAAUGGAGAGCUUCCAGCAUGUGGGCUUGGAACAAUGCAGAGUUCUUGAAGAGAGAAGGAUGUUGAAGAAACUGCACGUAGCCAUCAUAGAGGCGCCAUGGGAGCUCCCUCCCCCCUCCAUGUGAGCUAUGUUGUCCUUAUCUCACCUUUACAUGAGAUAAAGUUAAACAAUUCAGUAGUUCUUUCUAUAAAUAGCUGCUAUAACAUUACUGUAAAUGUGAGUCUCUUUUAUGGGAAAAUACAUGAAAGGGUGCAUGUUAAAUGACAAAUGUGACACUGAAUUUGCAGUCAUACAUGAGAUACACUUUGUUAAAACAUUUUAGCAUCAUUUUAACAUAAUCAUUAAACAUUGUGGGAGUGGUAAUUUACCUCAAAUUCCAAUGUCCUUUUGUAUGAAUUAUAAAGUAAUUUAGAACACUUAAAACAAUUAGAUUAAAUUUGAGCAGUUACUCAUGUGAUCUUCUGAAGCUUCUAUACGGUAUACUGAAGCUCCUCUGUACUGUAGGGGAAAUAACUACAGUGACUAGAUUAUUGCAAUGAUAAGAGCACACUGUGCAUGCUGUAACAGAUGGAUGGUAAGGAUGCAAUGAGUUGUUGCUUUUUUUUGCUUCAGUGUUUUUUCUUUCCCUCUGUGUCUUUUGAAGUGGAGUUGUGAAUAUGUAACUUACACUUCUGUGCAUGACUGUAAGCUUGGCUUUUUUGUUCUGUUUUUGAGUAUGGAUAUUUCUUGAAUAAUUACAUUUGUGAAGACAUUUACUAUAUUUAACUAAAUAUAUAAGAUUUUUACACCUUUUGCCUUACUAUGCUUAUUUAACAUUGUGUUACUUUGUGUUCAUUUAUAAACUGUGCAGUGAACUACAACUGAGGGGGCACAGAGGCUUAGGUGUGGGCAGUGGUGGCUCAAUGGUUAAGGCUCUGGGUUAAUGGUCAGAAGGUCAGGAGCUCAAGCCCCAGCACAACUGAGCUGCCACUGUUGGGCCCCUGAAAAAGUCCCACAACCCUCCCUGCUCCAGGUGUGCUGAAUCAUGACUGACCCUGCCCUCCAACCCCAGCCCCACAACAAGCUGGGAUAUGUGAAAAAAUAAUUUUACUGUGCUGUAAUGUAUAUGUGACAAAUAAAGGCCUCUUAUUCUUCUUCAUUUGUUCCUCUAGGUUUGGGGGUUCAAAUUCUGCCUCCACAGUGUACGUGGAGUUUGCAUGUUUUCCCUGUGCUACAUGCAUUGUAGGUUGAUUGGCAUUUCCAAAUUGUUCAUAGUGUGUGUGCGAUUGUGCCCUGCGAUGGGUUGGCACCCAAUCCAGGGUGUCCCCUACCUUGUGCCUCAGUUCCCUGUUAUAAGCUCCAGGCUCCCCUACAACCCUCUGUAGCAUAAGGGUAUGGAAAAUAGAUGGAUGACUGGAACUAGUGGCAAAGAGUGAACUUAACUACAGACUGCCCAACUACAGGCUGUAUUUUUUUUUUUUUUACUAUAAAUAACUUUUCAUAUAAAAAUCAUUGUCCCAAAUGAUGAUGAUAUUUUAAAAAGUUUUUAAGUUUUAUGACUACAAUUAAAGUGUGUUAAAUAAGUCCUG
Long non-coding RNA from Ictalurus punctatus (channel catfish), 6543 nucleotides. Lineage: Eukaryota; Metazoa; Chordata; Actinopteri; Siluriformes; Ictaluridae. The record is from Ensembl.